RNAcentral lists this ribosomal RNA (1584 nucleotides) under Triticum aestivum (bread wheat). RNAcentral describes it as "partial small subunit ribosomal RNA". Lineage: Eukaryota; Viridiplantae; Streptophyta; Magnoliopsida; Poales; Poaceae. The record is from RNAcentral.
AUGGGCGUCGAGGCGGCGCUGCAUGGGGCGGCGGCGGAGGCGGAGCUGCAUGGGGCGCUCUCGCUGCAGCCGCACGUGGCCGGCGCCUUCUUCGCGCUCGCGGCGUGCACCGUGGCGCUCGCCGCCCUCCUGGCCGUGGCGCGCACGCGCCCGCCGUGGUGGUGCGACUGCGCGGUCUGCGAGGCCUACCUCACGGCGUCGUGGGCAGGCGAGUUCGACAACCUCUGCGACUGGUACGCGCACCUGCUGCGCCGCUCGCCGUCGCAGACCGUGCACGUGCACGUGCUCCGCAACGUGCUCACAGCCAACCCCGUCACCGUCGACCACAUGCUGCGCGCGCGCUUCGAUAACUACCCCAAGGGCAAGCCCUUCUCCGCCAUCCUCGCCGACCUGCUCGGCCGCGGGAUCUUUAACGUCGACGGAGACGCGUGGCUGUUCCAGCGGAAGCUCGCCGCGGCCGAGCUUGCGUCCCCGGCGCUCAGGGCUUUCGCCUCGGGCGUCGUCGCCUCCGAGCUGCGGGGCCGUCUCGUUCCCCUGCUUGACUCUGCAUGUUCCCACGACGACGACGGUGGCAAGGUGCUGGACCUGCAGGACGUGUUCCGUCGCUUCGCCUUCGACUGCAUAUGCAAGAUCUCCUUCGGCCUCGACCCGGGCUGCCUCGAGCUGUCCAUGCCGGUAUCGGCGUUCGUUGACGCGUUCGACACGGCGUCGAUGCUCUCAGCGAGGCGCGCGACCGCCCCGUUGCAGAUCAUAUGGCGGCUGAAGCGGUUCUUCAACGUCGGGGACGAGAGAAAGCUCCGGGAAUCCGUGCGCCUCGUCGACGGGUUCGCCGCGGAGGUCACCCGGCAACGACACAAGCUCGGCGGCGCCGCGUCCGGCAGCGACCUCCUGUCGCGGUUCAUGGGCUCCAUCAGCGACGAGAAGUACCUCAGGGACAUCGUCGUCAGUUUCGUGCUCGCCGGCCGCGACACAGUCGCCUCAGCGCUGACCGCCUUCUUCCUGCUCCUCUCCGAUCACCCGGAGGUCGCCGCCGCCAUCCGGGACGAGGUGUCACGCGUCGCGGGCGACGACGACAACGACCGGCCGAGCUUCAGCAAGCUCAAGGACAUGCACUACGUGCACGCGGCGCUGUACGAGAGCAUGCGGCUGUUCCCGCCGGUGCAGUUCGACUCCAAGUUCGCGGCGGGCGACGACACGCUCCCGGACGGCACGGCGGUGGCCAAGGGCACCCGGGUCACCUACCACGCCUACGCCAUGGGCCGGAUGGAGUCCGUGUGGGGCCCCGACUGCUCCGAGUUCCGGCCCGAGCGGUGGCUCCGCGACGGGCAGUUCGUCCCGGUGAGCCCGUACCGGUACCCGGUGUUCCAGGCCGGCGUGCGCGUCUGCGUCGGCAAGGACCUCGCGCUCAUGGAGAUGAAGGCCGUCAUCGUCGCCGUCGUCCGCAGCUUCGACAUCGAGGCGAUCGGCCGGAGCUCGCGCCGGCCCAAGUUCGCGCCGGGGCUGACGGCCACGUUCGCCGGCGGGUUGCCGGUCAGGGUCCGCCGGCGACCGCGUGGUGUGAGCGGGCACAGCCCACCAACCUGA